RNAcentral lists this non-coding RNA (29 nucleotides) under Bombyx mori (domestic silkworm). The record is from RNAcentral. Lineage: Eukaryota; Metazoa; Arthropoda; Insecta; Lepidoptera; Bombycidae.
UCGAACCCGAACGGCGUCCGGCCACAAGC